GUACUAUGUUGGUUCCAACAAUUCCAUUCAGGUGGCUUGUGUUCAAAAUGUCUUGGAUUCAUUGAUUCCAGCAUUAUUGGCUGAUAAAAACAGAAAGUUCAUUUAUGUUGAACAGGCUUUUUUCCAGCGUUGGUGGAGGAAUCAGAGCCCGGGAAUGCAGAGCACAGUCAAACAGCUCGUCAACUCGGGUCAACUUGAGUUCAUAAAUGGAGGUUGGUGCAUGCAUGAUGAGGCAGCAACACAUUAUAUUGACAUGAUAGAUCAGACAACUCUAGGGCAUAAAUACAUCAAACAACAGUUCAAUGUUACUCCUAGAAUUGGCUGGCAAAUCGACCCUUUUGGACAUUCUGCUGUUCAGGCAUACCUUCUGGGAGCAGAGGUUGGAUUCGACUCUCUUUUCUUUGGACGCAUUGACUACCAAGACAGAGAAAAGAGGAAAAUUGAGAAGAGCCUUGAGGUCAUUUGGAGGGGUUCUAAGAGUCUCAGUUCAUCCACGCAAAUAUUUUCAGGUGCAUUCCCUCAGAAUUAUGAACCUCCCAGCAAAUUUUACUUUGAAGUGAAUGAUGAUAAUUCUCUUCCUGUUCAGGAUGAUGUCAACCUGUUUGACUACAAUGUCCAAGAGCGGGUCAAUGACUUUGUUG
RNAcentral lists this unclassified non-coding RNA (641 nucleotides) under Hevea brasiliensis (rubber tree). Lineage: Eukaryota; Viridiplantae; Streptophyta; Magnoliopsida; Malpighiales; Euphorbiaceae. The record is from RNAcentral.